CCAGACUCCUACGGGAGGCAGCAGUGAGGAAUAUUGGUCAAUGGCCGCAGGGCUGAACCAGCCAAGUCGCGUGAGGGAUGACGGUCCUAUGGAUUGUAAACCUCUUUUGUCAGGGAGCAAAGGGCGCCACGUGUGGCGUUUUGCGAGUACCUGAAGAAAAAGCAUCGGCUAACUCCGUGCCAGCAGCCGCGGUAAUACGGAGGAUGCGAGCGUUAUCCGGAUUUAUUGGGUUUAAAGGGUGCGCAGGCGGAAUGUCAAGUCAGCGGUAAAAAUUCGGGGCUCAACCCCGUCGUGCCGUUGAAACUGAUGUUCUUGAGUGGGCGGGAAGUAUGCGGAAUGCGUGGUGUAGCGGUGAAAUGCAUAGAUAUCACGCAGAACUCCGAUUGCGAAGGCAGCAUACCGGCGCUCAACUGACGCUCAUGCACGAAAGCGUGGGUAUCGAACAGGAUUAGAUACCCCAGUAA
This 464-nucleotide ribosomal RNA is filed under the name uncultured bacterium. RNAcentral describes it as "bacterial SSU rRNA". It matches the Rfam family "Bacterial small subunit ribosomal RNA", at positions 331 to 793 of the family's 1533-position model. The record is from RNAcentral.